Long non-coding RNA from Homo sapiens (human), 2028 nucleotides. Ensembl annotates it as long intergenic non-protein coding RNA 343. The record is from Ensembl. Lineage: Eukaryota; Metazoa; Chordata; Mammalia; Primates; Hominidae.
AAUCAAGUUCAUUAUAGGAAAAAGAAAGCUGAACUGAAAAGCUGAGUGUUCCCAGGACAUUGCUAGUGCAGCACCAAUAAUCUAUAUUUGGAAGAACUCUGGAAAGUGAAGAAUGAAUUGCUCAGUAAUCUGGGAGGACAUUAGCCAUUUUCCAUGAGUCAUGACUCAAGGUUGUCUUCUAUGCCCUGCACUGGAGAAGCAGUGGAGUCAGGAGAGACCCAGAGACUGGUGUUUAAAGAUGGGUUUGUCUUCCACCAUGGGAAUUCUAGCAAGCCAUCAUUUCAGACACUGUUUCUGUAAAAUGGGAUGGUAGAUCGUGUGGUGAAUAGAAGCCAGGGGGCCCUCAUGCUCCUAACCUUCACAUCCUUUCCUCUUGAAUGCAAGCGAGACCGCCGACUUCCUUCCUUCUUCACGGAUGUUGCUCCAGUUAUUAGGCUUUGCGUUGUACUGUGUACAGCUCCAUCUUGGUAGAAGGAAGAGAGGCUCUUCUUGCUGGCCUGAUGACGUGAGCAGCCAUGCUGGGAACAUCCCCACGCCAAGGCCAGUAUCUCAUCAACAAACAGCAUCAGCUGAGGCUCUGAAUCAUGCAGCUGCAAGCUGAUUCUGCCCCAAACCUGAAUGAGAUUAAAAGUGGAUUCUUGCAUAGCUGAGAACACAGCCCAGCUGACACCUGAUUAGCCCCCAUAAGGAAUCCGUGGACUCCUGGCUCACAGAAACCAUAUCAAGAUGUGGAAAGAAAUAAUAACAAGACCAUGUUCCAUUUCUUGUUAAGAUUUGAUAGUUGCGUUUCACUACAUUAAGAAAGGUUAAUAAACAAAAAGUAUUUUUUCUUCCCUGACUCCCAACAGUCAUAGUAUCCUUUGGUCCUACAGAAGACUUUGUUUUAAACACUUCUUAUAUUGAAAAUGAACUAUUUUCUUAUACAUAAAUGGCAUGACCAUCUUUCCUGCUAUAUAGGGACUGAGACGUUAUCUGCUUUUUCUGCAACUAGCUUGUACUUGUGCUUAAUGGUUUCUCUGUGGAUGUCUGUAAAUUGGAGGAAGGCAAGUCUUGAACCCUCUUAAAUGCACAUGGGGUGAACUCAAUCUCAUUUCUAAUUCUCUUCCCAAUCCUCUAUAAAUCCUACGGAGGAAUUUUGUUAAUCAUCAGUUCUAAUUUUGGUCUAUGAAAGUGUGCUCAGCACAUGUACUGGUGUACAGGAUGGAAAUGAUUCACUUGGAAUAAAGACCACCCUGUAGAUAACACACAUAGGAAGGACUGGAAGCUAUGGCUGUGCUCAUGUCCCAGAGUCUCUCAGUCUGUGGUUGUUCCUCGGGAAGCUCUAAACACACAGUUACAGAAUUAUGCAAAGCCUCUUACUUGAUAAGAUCUUCUGGAAAUACUACAUGGUCAAGAGCAGUCUACACACAGCUUUAAGCUUAAAGUCUGUUCCAUCCCGCCACCACCAACAGCUUCUUUAAAAUAUGAAGACUUCGAAGUUAUUUAUCCAAACCAACCUGAUCAUUUCUUAAGAGUGAAUAUACCUUGGAAGACGUGUCCUGCCUUUAGUAGCGUCACAAUGGAUUACAUCCUCUAUAAAGCAGUCUGGGGUGAGAAAAUCGAAUUUGGACACCGUUGAGGAGACUAUUGCAGUCAUCCAAGCUCAAGAUGGUGGAGCUUCAUCCUUGAGAAUAACCAAUGGGGAUAGAUUUAAGAGACACUUAGAGUCUGCAGCCAACAGGGCUGAAUGAGCAGAGAGUUAUGAUUCAGAAGAUCAUCUAAAAUUGAACAGCUGCCACUACUGGCAAUAAGUCUACUGCCAUUUGGUAGAUAACCUUCUUAUCACACAGAAAAAUAUCAGUACAGACAAAUAGACCGCAAAGAAAAUGAGACCAUCAGCAAAGAAGAUAAAGAAGUUUGUACAAAGCAACUUUUUAUAAAUGGAUGGCUGUCAGGCAAAAAUAAAUUUCCUGUGGACAAGACCAAGAGCAAGGCAAGAGGAAAAUAAACAUGUUUAAACUAUUGGAGAGUCCAUAAUUUAAAUAUAAA